Long non-coding RNA from Anthonomus grandis grandis, 1822 nucleotides. RefSeq lists it as uncharacterized. NCBI's taxonomy places the organism in Eukaryota, Metazoa, Arthropoda, Insecta, Coleoptera, Curculionidae. The record is from RefSeq and is a predicted model, not a curated record. The transcript has 4 exons.
CAGUUACAUUGCUUCCAGUGGCGUACCUGGGCAUAUUAUGUACAGGAUGUAACUCGCGAAUCACAUAUUACUUUUGUUGUUUUGUUUUCCCUAACCAAACCACCUUAUAAUAUUGUUCUAUGUCCCUAACCUAGAUUGCAGAUUUUAUUUGUUUUGCUUCCUGAAUGAUUUAAUUAUCAUGGAUAAUUAUUAUUAUAUCGAUUUUGCGACUAUUUUGAACAAUCAUAGUGUUUGGUGUUGACUCCCUUAUCUAUAAUAUUCGGUUCUACGCUAAUUUUGAGUUAAAAACAAACAUUUUAGUGUUUGACUUUCUAAUAAAUUUUCCAGUGAUUUUUUUACUGUAUAAUUUCUUUUUUAGCUGCUGCAGUGCCUGUUUACGAUAAUUAUGGCACUAAAUCAACAUGUAUGCAAUCUGCAAAGUCUGUGAGAAGGAAUUUUCAAGCAUAUCAAUGAGAAACAGACAUCUUAAGAAGUUUCACCAAGAAUUUGUUGGCCAGGAAUACAAGAAACACAUUACAUGUCUAAUGUAUACCAACAGUACCUAGAUUUUAGGAAUUUUGAAUAAUAUACCUCUUGGAGGGCACAAAGUAAUAGGGAGAUUGAUUCUGAUUGUCAGAUCCAAAAUAAAUUUAAGAAUGGAGAAGAACAUAUAUUAUACAAUUAUAACAGGAGCGACAUUAAAAGUAGUAUAAACUCUUAGUCAUCAGACAUAAUUGUAUAUUUUGUUGUUUACUUUUAACAUUCAAUAUCUCAUGUAAAAGGAGAUGACACAAUAGAAAGGCCAAACUUGGUAACAAGAGGUAACAUGGCAUAUUUGAUAAGGAAAUAUAAUGUUGACAAGAAAAGAGACCAUUAUGAUAUGGUAGCCACUGCUUUAAGAAUUAAUGGGAAAGGAAAAAAUGGGGAAUUCUUAUCUGGGACUGAAUGAUAACAAUUUUGCUACAUACAUUGAAUUAUGGAGAAGAAAUCAAAAGAUUGUAAAUAUCAAUUUAAAGAGCCUAGGUGUUUGGUUUCUAUCUAUAUAGGUGUACCUAUAUUUUAUCUUGAGAGUAUUUUAGCUUAUUGGUAUUUUAUUUAUUUUCUAUUUAAAUUUUCAAAUGUACUUAAAUUUGGAUUGCUAUAUAAGUAUAAUACUUUUAGAGCGCCGAAAACCUAACUGAAUUGCUUCAAAACGGUGAUGGAAUGAUGAGGGACAGACCCUCUGCGAAUAUCUUUAUUUAUGAAAUUGUGUAAAGAAAAGUAUUUUUUUUUCUUUCAUGGUACUACAAAAAAAAUCUGUUGAAUGGAAGGUUGGGCUGUUCGUGACCAGCAGAGAUGACAAUGCUAGCUAAAGAAGUGCUACAGACCAAGCAUGAUAGAUUUAGUUUCUUCUCUACCAUUUUAAUUUUAAGUUGUUAUUAUUUAAUAUAAUACAUUUUGACCAAUCUUAAUAUAAUAUAGAGUCCAUAGUAUAGUUUAUUUUAAAAACUAUUAAUAUAAAACAUGUUAUUAUAAAAUUUAAAACAUUUCAGUAAGCUAGUCGGCAUUAAGAUAUUUGAUGAAUAUGAUGGGAAUUUUUUCAUUUCAAAGUAAUAUCACUGUCAUCACAAUGAUUUAAAUAAUUUUCAAAUUGUCUUUGAAAACUACUCAGCAAGUAAGCUGCCUCAAAAUAUUUAUGUAAUAUUUACUUCUUAUGGCGACUAUGAUGAUGCUAUGGGGUUUUAUCAAAACAAUGCAUAAACAGUUAUACAAAAAUUAAAAUAAACACACAUAUUUUUUAGGAUUAUUUGUAAUAUAUAUUUUGAUUUUAAUUGUUGUUAAAUAAAAGUUUAUAUGUUAUUCA